GACGAACGCUGGCGGCGGGCUUAACACAUGCAAGUCGAACGAACGCCUUCGGGCGUUAGUGGCGCACGGGUGAGUAACACGUAGGCAAUCUACCCUCGGCUGGGGAAUAACCAGGGGAAACCCUGGCUAAUACCGCAUAACAUCUGGACGUCGCCUGGCGACCAGAUCAAAGCUUUAUGUGGCCGAGGAUGAGCCUGCGUCGGAUUAGCUAGUUGGUGGGGAACGCCUACCAAGGCGACGAUCCGUAGCGGGUCUGAGAGGAUGAUCCGCCACACUGGCACUGAGACACGGGCCAGACUCCUACGGGAGGCAGCAGUGAGGAAUAUUGCGCAAUGGACGAAAGUCUGACGCAGCCACGCCGCGUG
Molecule: ribosomal RNA, 365 nt
Filed under: uncultured bacterium
Lineage: Bacteria
Description: bacterial SSU rRNA
Rfam family: Bacterial small subunit ribosomal RNA
Source: RNAcentral